Molecule: ribosomal RNA, 1000 nt
Filed under: Microbacterium paraoxydans
Lineage: Bacteria; Bacillati; Actinomycetota; Actinomycetes; Micrococcales; Microbacteriaceae
Description: bacterial SSU rRNA
Rfam family: Bacterial small subunit ribosomal RNA
Source: RNAcentral
GAACGCGGCGGCGUGCUUAACACAUGCAAGUCGAACGGUGAACACGGAGCUUGCUCUGUGGGAUCAGUGGCGAACGGGUGAGUAACACGUGAGCAACCUGCCCCUGACUCUGGGAUAAGCGCUGGAAACGGCGUCUAAUACUGGAUAUGUGACGUGACCGCAUGGUCUGCGUUUGGAAAGAUUUUUCGGUUGGGGAUGGGCUCGCGGCCUAUCAGCUUGUUGGUGAGGUAAUGGCUCACCAAGGCGUCGACGGGUAGCCGGCCUGAGAGGGUGACCGGCCACACUGGGACUGAGACACGGCCCAGACUCCUACGGGAGGCAGCAGUGGGGAAUAUUGCACAAUGGGCGAAAGCCUGAUGCAGCAACGCCGCGUGAGGGAUGACGGCCUUCGGGUUGUAAACCUCUUUUAGCAGGGAAGAAGCGAAAGUGACGGUACCUGCAGAAAAAGCGCCGGCUAACUACGUGCCAGCAGCCGCGGUAAUACGUAGGGCGCAAGCGUUAUCCGGAAUUAUUGGGCGUAAAGAGCUCGUAGGCGGUUUGUCGCGUCUGCUGUGAAAUCCCGAGGCUCAACCUCGGGCCUGCAGUGGGUACGGGCAGACUAGAGUGCGGUAGGGGAGAUUGGAAUUCCUGGUGUAGCGGUGGAAUGCGCAGAUAUCAGGAGGAACACCGAUGGCGAAGGCAGAUCUCUGGGCCGUAACUGACGCUGAGGAGCGAAAGGGUGGGGAGCAAACAGGCUUAGAUACCCUGGUAGUCCACCCCGUAAACGUUGGGAACUAGUUGUGGGGUCCAUUCCACGGAUUCCGUGACGCAGCUAACGCAUUAAGUUCCCCGCCUGGGGAGUACGGCCGCAAGGCUAAAACUCAAAGGAAUUGACGGGGACCCGCACAAGCGGCGGAGCAUGCGGAUUAAUUCGAUGCAACGCGAAGAACCUUACCAAGGCUUGACAUAUACGAGAACGGGCCAGAAAUGGUCAACUCUUUGGACACUCGUAAACAGGUGG